This 2961-nucleotide long non-coding RNA is filed under the name Sus scrofa (pig). RNAcentral's name for it is "lncRNA (ENSSSCG00065005520.1)". Lineage: Eukaryota; Metazoa; Chordata; Mammalia; Artiodactyla; Suidae. The record is from RNAcentral.
CAUUAUCCUCCAUCAUGUUCAUUAAGUUUCUUUCAAGCCUCUGAGAAUUGACAAAUGCCAUUUAAGAAUUUCUCAAACAUUCAUCUAAAUACAGGUUUCAGUACAUGAUGAUCUUCACAUCAUACCGUGGUGAAAAAGGAAAAACAAGAAGACUUUGGAGUGCUGUUUCUUUUUUUCAAAACAAAGUUAAAGUCAUUCAAUUUUCUAUUCUGUUAUCAGGUCUUUCCAACACUUGGUACUGAUGUAGUUACUUUUUCCUUUAUAACAGUUGAGAGUCUCUGUUUAACAAAGUAAGACGGCAACUCAAGGUUGGUCUCUUAUUCUUAUUUUUAAUUUUUGUUUUGUUUAUAGUUUGUUUUAAAUUUAAUUGAACCAUGAAAUCUGAAGGUCUAUUGAGUACAAAUCUAAGCUUUGUUAAUUUGAACAUCUUAUGAAGGUUGGACUAACAUUUUUCACGUUAUCUUCUAUGGAUCUUCUCAAUUCAGCAAAAAGCUGCUGGUAUUCUAAGUGAAAUAUAAAGUGAAAAUCUAUUAUACUUCUUUGGUCAAAAAUAUAUAAUGUGUGAAUAUUUUGUGUUCAUGAUGACAUUCUGCUCUCACAUCAAUGGGGUAAGCAUUUUUCCCCAAUAGUAUUUAUUUCUCAGUAAUACUGAUGAAUUUGGGCUGGUUCAUUUACAUGUUUUUAUUUUAUUUAGCUCACUUCAUGACCAAUGGCAUAUCUUUCUUUUACAGCUGGGCAGAGUUAAGGAAGCAAACUUUUGUUUCUGUAAAAAAAACAUUAAUAGUAUAUUCAGAGACUGUACAGAUGGCCUUAAUUUCAUUAGAUUCAGGCUCUGAAGAAGUGAACUAAGCCUGUUUUUUUUAAAAAAAAAACUUUCUAAUUUCAAUUUAUUAUUAUUAUUGCUAUUGAAGCAAAAGUAUCUGUAAAAGUAUUAGACUUCCAAAUUUCUAGGCUUCAGCUUGGUAAAUAACAUCAAUAGCUUGUCUUCAGUUGCUUAUCUGGUUCCUCCAUAUCUGUGGUUCCACAUCUGUAUAAUCAACAGACCAUGAUCCGUGUAGUGUUAUAGUAUUGACUGUUUGGGGGAUGCACCCUGCAGGCCUGCAAGCUUCAGCCUCAUAGUGAACUCAAAGUAAGAGCCAGAUACAGCUACAGAGACAGCCAAAAUUGAAUAUGGUAUCUUACAGUUCAGAAGUAAAAUGUCUUGGAGCAACAUCCCACCAUAUAUGGAAGAUGGCAGGGAGACAUGGCAUCAGUUAGCUCUAAACUUUCUAAUUUUAAAUAUAGGUUCAUAGAAAGGUUCGGAAAUGUACAGGGAGGUCCUAUGCAUCCUUCACCAAGCCUCAUUCUAUACUUAUAUCUUGCAAAACUAUAGAAUUGACAUAUAAUGCAUAAUAAGACUAUUCAGAUUUCAACUUUUGUGCAUGGCUGAUUUGUGUGUGUAUGUAUAGCUAUAUUCAAUUUUGUCACACAUCAUUUCAUGUCAGAAAAAUCACAAUCAGGAUAGUAAAAUGUACCUUCACCAUGAGACUAACUCCUGUUACCCACUUAUAUACAACACACCCACCACUUACCGCUUACCCCCUUAUAGCUGGCAAUCACUAAUCCUUUUCCCAUGUAUUUAAUUAAGUUACUUCGCAAAUAUUAUAUAAAGGGAAACAUUCAGUACACAUCCAAUUGAGACUGGAGUUUUUCAUUCAGUGUAAAUUCCCUAAGUUCUAUCCAAGUUUUUGCAAGUAUCAAUCACUUAUUUGUUUUUAUUGCUGGGUAGUAUUUCAUGGUGCGGAGGUACCACGGCUGUUUUCUUUUUAACCAACCACAUAUGAAAGAAUAUGUGGAUAGUUUCCAUUGUUUGGCUAUUACAAAUAAGGCUGCUAUGAAUAUUUGUGUACAAGUUUCUGCAUGAAAACAAGUUUUCAUUUUGUUGGGAUGACUAAGAAUGCAAUCAUUGUGUCAUAUGGUGAGUCCAUUUUUAGCUUUAAAAUGAACUGCCAAACUAUUUUCCAGGGUGGCUACACUAUUUUAUAUUCUCAGCAGCAAUGUAUGAGUGAUCCAGUUUUUUUGCUUCCUUGUCAGUAUUUAUGGUCUAUAUUUUUAGUUUAACCAUUUUCCAGGUAUGUGAUAACGUCUCGCAGAUAUUGAAUAUAGUAGGACCUGUGCCAUAUAGUAGGACCUGUGCCAUAUAGCAGGACCUUGCCAUAUAGUAGGACCUGUGCCGUAUAGUAGGACCUUUCCAUAUAGUAGGACCUGUGCCAUAUAGUAGGACCUUGUGGUCUAUCCAUUCUAAAUGUAAUAGUUUGAAUGUACUAACCCUGAAGCUCCCAGUCCAUCCCACUCCCUCUCCUCUCCCCCUUGGCAACCACAAGUCUGUUCUCUAUGUCUGAGUCUGCUUCUGUUUUGUAGAUAGGUUUAUUUGUGCCAUAUUUCAGAUUCCAUGUAUAAGUGAGUAAGUGAUAUCAUGUGGUAUUUGUCUAUAUUUGACCUACUUCACUUAGUAUGAGAAUAUCUAGAUCCAUCCAGGUUGCUGCAAAUGCCAUUAUUUCAUUCUUUUUUUACAGCUGAAUAGUAUUCCAUUGUAUUCUACCACGUAUUAUCUGUCCAUUCAUCAAUAGACAUUUAGGUUGUAUUAUAUAUAUAGAUAUGUAUAUAUAUCCAUAUAUAAAUAUAUAAAUAUAUAUCCAGACAUAUGACCAGGAGUGGGAAUGCAGGACUUUAUGGUGACUGUUUUUAGUUUAUUGAGGGACCGUCAUAGUGUUUCCCAUAGUGGAUAUAUAUAUUUAAUGGAUCGUGCCUUGGUGUCAAGAAUAAAAACACUUUGCUUAGUCCAAAUACGAAAUAUUUUUUUUCUGUAAGAUUUGUAGCUUUAUAGUUUACAUUUCAGACUCUGAGGUUUAGGUUGAGAUAUGAUUUUUGUUUGUUUUGUUUCAUUUUUAGCCUAUAGAUACCCAACAGCUACAGUACCAU